GAGGAGGAGGAGGAGAGGUCGUAGCCGUCUCCAGGAGCCCUUAGAGACCGAGUCCCGGCGGCGACGGCGGGGCAGCGCACCGGCAGGCGGAUUCAUUCCACUUAAAACCUGAAAACAUUGGACCACACAAAGUCUUACUGGUAAGUUCUUCAUUUCUUAAACAAAGUGACUGUUUGACUUUAUUUUUGAGAUGAUAUUCACACUUCUAAGUUAGAUGCUUCCCUACCAGUGCUAUGAUGAGAUGUCUAUUUAUUUGUACUUUUCUUUAAUCUCUGUAAUUUAUGAUGUUUCCAUGCCUUAAAAAAACAGAGCAACCCAUGUUCCUUUGUAAGACCAUGGGCAGGAUAAAGAUCCAUGAUUACAUGCCAAAUACUAUUAAAAUAAAACUUUUUUGGGUAAUGAAACUAUUUCCAGGCCCCUGUUGAUGGGAGUAUCCAAAACAACAGAGUGUUAUUUCAG
This 459-nucleotide small RNA is filed under the name Pongo abelii (Sumatran orangutan). RNAcentral's name for it is "processed transcript". The record is from RNAcentral. Lineage: Eukaryota; Metazoa; Chordata; Mammalia; Primates; Hominidae.